AAGGCAUCAAACUCCUUUCUCAUGGCAUCCUACCAUACUGGAACAGAUGCAGCUUGAGAGUAAUAGAGAGGUUCAGAUUCCAGAGAAGAAGAAGAGGAGCCAGAAAAGGCAGGGAGUUGACAGACAUAGUCCUUAAGAUAAGAUGGAGGAUUAUAUUGUCUUCCAGAUUUUCUGGGAGCAGGAGCAGAUGUGGAAGAAGGCAAAUUAGGAGGAGAUGUAUUAGGAUUGAAGGAAGGAAUGGAGGCUGGAUUAGAAGAAGAAGAAGUGGUGGCAGAAGGAGGAGGAGGAGAGGAACAAACAUGUAUCAACAAGUCAGUGUCAGAGAAGGAAGGCUCAAGAGAAGGAACUGAGGGAAAGGAAGAAGGAACAGGAGAUGAAACAUUCUUAAAUGGAAAAGAGGUUUCAUGAAAUACAACAUCCCUGAGAACAAACAGGUAUCAACAAGUCAGUGUCAGAGAAGGAAGGCUCAAGAGGAGGAACUGAGGGAACGGAAGAAGGAACAUGAGAUGAAACAUUCUUAAAAGGAAAGUAGGUUUCAUGAAAUACAACAUCCCUGGAAACAAGGUAUUUCUUUGAAGUAAGGUCAUAAAGUUUAUAACCCUUUUUGGCAAAAGGAUACCCAAUGAAUCAAUUUGUCUCUUUGAGGAAUUGGAACAGUAGCAUAGGCAAGGAACCCAAAUGCUCUCAAAUAAGAGUAGGUUGGUGCCUUUCCAUGUAAAACUUCAAAGGGAGAUUUAUGAUGAAGAAGUCUGGAUGGUAGUCUAUUAAGGAGAUAGGUGGCAGUUAGUAAGCAAUCCCCCAAGAAAGAGAUUGGUAGGCCAGAUUGAAAAAGUAAGGCUCUACAUAUCUCAAGAAGAGUCCUAUUUUUCCCUUCCACAACACCAUUUUGUUGGGGACUAUGAGGACAGGUUGUUUGGUGAAUAAUCCCUUCAUCACUAAAGAAAGAAACACCCUCAAUGCUAGACCCCAGUUCCAAAGCAUUAUCACUUCUAACAAUAUGAACCACAGCAUUAAACUGGGGGCAGAAGGCAUUGCUUUUAGAUCCCAGUAAGUGUGUCCAGGUAGCCCUAGAGAAAUCAUCAACAAUUGUAAGAAAAUAUCUACAGCCAGAAGAAGUAGGAGUGUGAUAGGGGCCCCAAGUGUCCACAUGAAUUAGUUGGAAAGGUCUAGAAGUGGUUAUUGUGCUAUCAAGAAAGGGAAGUCUACUCUGUUUAGCCAUAGGACUGAUAGAACAAGGGAAAGACUUCUUAGAGGCUAAAGGAAAAGACAAUCCCGAAAUGUGUUUCAUAUUUGAAAAUGAAGUAUGAGCAAGUCUCAAAUGCCAGAUGUAAU
Molecule: long non-coding RNA, 1332 nt
Filed under: Nicotiana benthamiana
Lineage: Eukaryota; Viridiplantae; Streptophyta; Magnoliopsida; Solanales; Solanaceae
Description: long non-coding RNA (NBEN_LNC021603)
Source: RNAcentral